This 3685-nucleotide long non-coding RNA is filed under the name Mus musculus (house mouse). RNAcentral describes it as "long non-coding RNA chr2:52937952-52941637". The record is from RNAcentral. Lineage: Eukaryota; Metazoa; Chordata; Mammalia; Rodentia; Muridae.
ACCUGGCCUGGUGGAGAGGUACUUCUUGUUACUGGAGCGACAAUGCCCCUCAAGGGACCAUGCUCUGAGGAAUAAAUAACCAAGUGGCAGUGUGGCUUUGGAGUCAGGUAUUUCUGAUCUUUCUGAAUUUCUUUAUCUGAGUAUAAGCAGUGAUAUGAUUAACUUGCAGGUUGUGUGGCUUGCUUCUGUGGAGCUGUACUGGCUCAAAAUGACAGCAUUGUCAAAGGGAUGAUGGGACAAGGCCUGGGAAGCUCUUGAUACUUAAGGCCAAGAUGCCUAAUUGGAGAGAUGUUCUUGUUUGUACAUAGACAGUUUUGGUAGUAUAAAAAGUCACCGUGUAGAUAAGUUCAACCUCUGUCUCCUUAGGGUGGACAUUUCUUAUGCUGUGGACAGCGUCUGUCAUGUGGUUGUGGUGGUCUUACUCAUGCAGAGGAGAUAGUCACCUCCUACACUGUGACAUUUAAACUAGGUGUCACUAAAGCACUAGCUGUGGGUUCCAGUACUUGAUGAGUCAUGAAAUACUUCUUCCUGCUAAAUUUUACACACUGACCUUUCUGGUUUCAGCUUCUCACCCAUCUUCCUUUUCACUCGUGACAGCCACAUGGUCACUAGGUUCUUCCUGUCUUGUUCUGAUUUAACCAGUUUAUGCACAAGUGCACACGUGCCUGUGUGUUUAUAAGUUAUUUUCAGAAGUUUGUGGAGAUCAGGAAUCCAGACAUUCCUUUCUGUCUUCCACAGGGUGUGGUGUCACAUUUCAGUUCCCGAGGAAAAUCAGUCUGCAGAGUUGAUGAGAGGGUGCCAGGUUUCAAAUGCUUAUUCACCUUCUACCUUUUCGUCUGGCAGCUUUGCUUUAUCUAGCUGUAAAUUAGGAGAGGCUGGUGGGGCUGAAAGGAACUUGAAGGAAGUCUUCAGAAGCCAUCUGCUCAUUUUAUCCCUGUAGGCAUUGAAACCUGAGUAGUUAAAUCAACUUUCCAAAGUCCUGGAAGGGUCAGAUAAAGUUUGGUUUUCUGACUUAAGUUUCUCUGCCUUUUCCCCCUGAAGGCCCACCACGGGGACUUUUACUUAGGUAUAAAGCAGUAGGUACAGGCCUUGCUAAGACAGAAGUUGUGCGUGUUCAGUGCUGGGAUCAUAGAGGCAGCUACCUGAGGUCGUUUGGCCUGAUUGGGAGUCCAGUGAUUGUCCUGGUGGUUGUCCUCUGUUGUGAGCUUCUAGAUAACAGAGGUCAGACAGGGUUCUUACCUGAAUGCCUGAAACAGAAAUUCUUGUUAAAUUUCUGUAAAAGGCAGCUGUAGUAGUGUGCUGUUUACUAUGUAACAUUCUAAUAGUUGUUAGCACUGUCAUCUGAGAUAAAAGAAUACUAUUAUAUGUACAGUUUUAUCUCUUUCUCUUUCCCUUCCCCUCUGGAUUGAAACCGGGGACUCUAAUUUCUAGACAAACAUUCUACCUCUAAGCUGCUAAUACCCCCAUCCUUAUAUACCAUUUUAUAAUAACACAACAAACUGCUAUAUUAGACCCAAAUCAGUUGCAGCUCAACAGUCCUGUUUGUAGAUGGUGUUUUCCUGUGAUCUUCUUGUUUUCGUUAGGAUUUCCAUGGCUGUGGUAAAACAGCAUGUCCAAGGCAAUUUAUAAAAGAUCAACACGUCAGCAUCUCAACAGGUUAGAGUCCAUGAUGGCAGAGCAAAGCCUUGGUGACAGGAACAGCUGAGAGCUCAGACCUCAACACAAGCAGGCGGCAAAGCACACAUUUGGAAUAGCAUUGAGCCUUUUGAAACGUCAAAGCCCCACUCUCAGUGACACCUCUUGUAACAAGGCCACCCAGAGAGUUCCACCAACUGGCAACCAAGUAUUCAAACGUAUGAACCUGUGGGGGCCAUUUUCUUUCAAGUGCUCCCCGCUCCCUUGGAGUUUUAGUUACAUGGUAUCUGUAACUUAGGUUAAAGUAAGCAAAGGUGCAACUUUUGAGCCCUUUUUUGUUUCCAGUCUGUGAUUCUUGAUGGUUCCCAGGAGAAUCCUCACCCAUGUCUCUGGUCUAAUACUCUAGACCAUACGGUGCCUCUCAGCACUGCUCUAUGGAGGACUCUCUGGCCUCCCAGGUUGAGCGCAGCCUCUGUCAGCAUUGUCUGUACAAUGUGGCAGAUUUAUGGUGGAGGCUGCUUAUCCUUUUGGGGAUGAUCAAGGUGUUUUUUCAUCUCUUCGAUUACCGUGAAGAUAAAAAAUAUUUCAGUGCUGUGGUUCUGAGCAGGUGGAGAUGGAGAGAGAGGGUGAGGAAGAGAAACUGAGGCUUCUUUUCACUAUAAUGAUUCUUGAGCUGUCAUUGGCCCCCUCCCUCCCUUCCUCCCUCUUCUGUCUGUCCCUCUCUAGUAAGGUUCUCUAUGGCUGAACUGAAUUGCUUUUCAACAAAAUUGUUGGUGGUAGAAAUUGGCCUAUUAAUCUUCCUGGUAUGGUCACAUAAUGUUCUUCCUUGUGAGGCAGGGUCUCCUGUCGCUCAGAAGGUUGGCCUUGAACUCAUCAUGUCACUAAGGAUGACCUUGCCCUCCUGAUCCUUUCUGCCUCUGGAGUGUUGGGAUCACACACUGGAGGUGCCUAGCUCCAAGGCAGACACAGUGUGACCAUUAACUCUUGAUGGUCAAAAACUGUUUUUGUGUAUGAUUUUAAAUUUAUCUCCAUCAAGUCACAGGAAGUCUAAUCACUGACCUUUGAUCCAAAAUGUUUUCUUUUGAUCAUAGGUGAAAAUAGUGUUUCUGGUUUAAUUAGUAAAGACCAGAUGGACAACUGAAAUGAGGGUGUAUUUCUACACCAUAAAUACAAAGAGGCCUAAAAAAGCAACAAUGCAUUUUACUUAAAAUGGAUAGUUUUAGAAAAGUUUUUCAUAUCUAAUUCCUGAUUUUAAAUUGAGCUACCAUAAGAAUGUAUACUUUAAGGUCAAGUCCAUCACCUGUUCAUGCCAGAUAAUGGUUUUUAAGAAGCCUAGAAGGAGGGCUGGAGAUAUGGCUCAGCGGCUGAGAGCACUGACUGCUCUUCCAGACGUCCUGACUUCAAUUCCCAGAAACCACAUGGUGGCUCACAACCAUCUGUAGUGGGAUCCAGUGCCUUCUUUAUAUAUGAUCUUUAAAAAAGGAACGAAACCUAGAAGGAAUUUGUAAUAGCAGUCCUUUUAAGCACAACUGAUACAUCUGAGGAAAUAAACCAUCAGGCACACAGGCAUGCCUCCUGCUUUGCCUUCCAGUCUCUGCCCUACCAGGUCCUUAGUGAUAGCAAGCCUGGAGUUUUGAAUUACAGCCCUCCGCUUACCUGUGCUAGGCAAGGAUUGUAUCCACCUGCUUUAUUUCUCCUGCUUUGGCCAGGUGGUUGGGAACUAGAAAUGAUUGACAGCAGUCCCUAAAACAAGCACAAAGAGAACUGGCACUCUAGCCUCUCUCUCCUAAAAGGUACUGUGGAGAACUAGGGAGUCAGAUGGCAGGAAGAGCAGAGAAAAGUUAUAUUCUUGGUUUUUAUUUUUGUUGUUGUUGGUUUUUUUUGUUUGUUUUUUGGGUUUUUUUGCUUGUUUGUUUUUGUUUUUUUGAGACAGGGUUUCUGGAAAUCCACCUGCCUCUGCCUCCCAAGUGCUGGGAUUAAAGGCUUGCGCCACUACUGCCUGGCCGAAAAGUUACUUCUUGAAAGUUUCUCUUUCUAUAAUUGUUUUCUU